Dreissena polymorpha is the source of this 940-nucleotide long non-coding RNA. RefSeq lists it as uncharacterized. The record is from RefSeq and is a predicted model, not a curated record. The transcript has 3 exons. NCBI's taxonomy places the organism in Eukaryota, Metazoa, Mollusca, Bivalvia, Myida, Dreissenidae.
UCGAACUACGUGCUUAUACUCACCUUAGUUGGCCCAGCUAAUGGAUUUAUGGCGGCCAGCACAACUACCUCUUUCCGUGUGUUUGCAAGUAUUGAAGGACUCCUGACUGGUUUAAACCUGGCAUUAGUAAUAGCCUCAGCAGUAACUUAUCGCCGAUCCCAAACCAACUUGGUACAACCACAACUUGCACUUAUUCGUGUCGAAUAUGGGAAAACAGUUAGGAAAGAAAGUGACCGCGGUAAAAUGCCAACAACUGUUGAAAUCGAAAACAUUUACAGCUCAAACAAAACAGAUUUACGAGAUGAAUUGUCAUGGGUACUACACCAAUUGUGGAUACAACAUGCCCACUUAAUCGGAAAAGGCAAAGAUGCUAAAGGGCUUGCACAUCGUUACAUUGAUAUUCAAAGUAUAAGACCUGUUAAAAAUCACUAUGCUUUAUGGAGAUACAGUUGUCGAAGGCAGAGAAUAUUUGAUUUUGCUGCAUCGGUUGGUGGUCAUUUGAAAAACCUUCAAAACUACAAAAACGAAUGUGGGUGGGUUUGUAAAACACAUGUUGUUGACACUGACACUGUUUUGCGAGAAAAUUCUACUUUGGUAAAAGAAAAAUUGUCGAACAAUGUUGAUAAAAGUAUAAAUGAAUAUUAUCUGUUCCAUGGGACACGUUCUUUAAACGCAGAUUCUAUUGCAAAGAAUGGAUUUAACGUCAAAAAAUGCAGAUCUGCAAUGCUUGGAAGAGGGAUUUAUUUCACAGAUAGCCUCGUAAAAGCCGAUCAGUACACACAUCCAGAUGAUAGCGGUAUGUGUUGCUUGAUAAUGGCAAGAGUUCUUCUCGGUGACUUUGUAGUUGCCCCGAACCAUUCCGACAUUCCGUCGACAAGCAUUCAGCCGCCAUGCAAGGAAUGCAUGACCACCGUGUGUAAGAAGAAGAUGUCAGACAAUC